RNAcentral lists this ribosomal RNA (520 nucleotides) under bacterium btn 3b-3.6. RNAcentral's name for it is "bacterial SSU rRNA". It matches the Rfam family "Bacterial small subunit ribosomal RNA", at positions 335 to 845 of the family's 1533-position model. The record is from RNAcentral.
ACUCCUACGGGAGGCAGCAGUAGGGAAUCUUCCGCAAUGGACGAAAGUCUGACGGAGCAACGCCGCGUGAGUGAUGAAGGUUUUCGGAUCGUAAAGCUCUGUUGUUAGGGAAGAACAAGUACCGUUCGAAUAGGGCGGUACCUUGACGGUACCUAACCAGAAAGCCACGGCUAACUACGUGCCAGCAGCCGCGGUAAUACGUAGGUGGCAAGCGUUGUCCGGAAUUAUUGGGCGUAAAGGGCUCGCAGGCGGUUUCUUAAGUCUGAUGUGAAAGCCCCCGGCUCAACCGGGGAGGGUCAUUGGAAACUGGGGAACUUGAGUGCAGAAGAGGAGAGUGGAAUUCCACGUGUAGCGGUGAAAUGCGUAGAGAUGUGGAGGAACACCAGUGGCGAAGGCGACUCUCUGGUCUGUAACUGACGCUGAGGAGCGAAAGCGUGGGGAGCGAACAGGAUUAGAUACCCUGGUAGUCCACGCCGUAAACGAUGAGUGCUAAGUGUUAGGGGGUUUCCGCCCCUUAGUG